Molecule: small nuclear RNA, 109 nt
Organism: Cavia aperea (Brazilian guinea pig)
Lineage: Eukaryota; Metazoa; Chordata; Mammalia; Rodentia; Caviidae
Source: Ensembl
CUACUCAACAGGUAGUACCUAGAUAUACUAAAACUGGAAUGAUACAGAGAAAAUUAACAUGGCACUGUACAAGGAUGACAUGCACAUUCAUGAACUGUUCCAUAUUUUA